This 484-nucleotide ribosomal RNA is filed under the name uncultured bacterium. RNAcentral's name for it is "partial 16S ribosomal RNA". It matches the Rfam family "Bacterial small subunit ribosomal RNA", at positions 29 to 507 of the family's 1533-position model. The record is from RNAcentral.
AUUGAACGCUGGCGGCAUGCUUUACACAUGCAAGUCGAACGGCAGCGCGGGCUUCAGCCUGGCGGCGAGUGGCGAACGGGUGAGUAAUGCAUCGGAACGUGCCCAGUAGUGGGGGAUAGCCCGGCGAAAGCCGGAUUAAUACCGCAUACGACCUGAGGGUGAAAGCGGGGGACCGAAAGGCCUCGCGCUAUUGGAGCGGCCGAUGUCGGAUUAGCUAGUUGGUGGGGUAAAGGCUUACCAAGGCGACGAUCCGUAGCUGGUCUGAGAAGACGACCAGCCACACUGGGACUGAGACACGGCCCAGACUCCUACGGGAGGCAGCAGUGGGGAAUUUUGGACAAUGGGGGCAACCCUGAUCCAGCCAUGCCGCGUGCGGGAAGAAGGCCUUCGGGUUGUAAACCGCUUUUGUUCGGGAAGAAAUCCUCUGGGCUAAUACCCCGGGGGGAUGACGGUACCGGAAGAAUAAGCACCGGCUAACUACGUG